GAUGAACGCUGGCGGCGUGCCUAAUACAUGCAAGUCGAGCGAACAGACGAGGAGCUUGCUCCUUUGACGUUAGCGGCGGACGGGUGAGUAACACGUGGGUAACCUACCUAUAAGACUGGGAUAACUUCGGGAAACCGGAGCUAAUACCGGAUAAUAUUUCGAACCGCAUGGUUCGAUAGUGAAAGAUGGCUUUGCUAUCACUUAUAGAUGGACCUGCGCCGUAUUAGCUAGUUGGUAAGGUAACGGCUUACCAAGGCAACGAUACGUAGCCGACCUGAGAGGGUGAUCGGCCACACUGGAACUGAGACACGGUCCAGACUCCUACGGGAGGCAGCAGUAGGGAAUCUUCCGGGAUGGGCGAAGGCCUGACGGAGCAACGCCGAGUGAGUGAUGAAGGUCUUCGGAUCGUAAAACUCUGUUAUUAGGGAAGAACAAACGUGUAAGUAACUGUGAACGUCUUGACGGUACCUAAUCAGAAAGCCACGGCUAACUACGUG
Molecule: ribosomal RNA, 497 nt
Filed under: uncultured bacterium
Lineage: Bacteria
Description: partial 16S ribosomal RNA
Rfam family: Bacterial small subunit ribosomal RNA
Source: RNAcentral